This 433-nucleotide ribosomal RNA is filed under the name uncultured bacterium. RNAcentral describes it as "partial 16S ribosomal RNA". It matches the Rfam family "Bacterial small subunit ribosomal RNA", at positions 29 to 507 of the family's 1533-position model. The record is from RNAcentral.
AACGAACGCUGGCGGCAUGCCUAACACAUGCAAGUCGAACGAGACCUUCGGGUCUAGUGGCGCACGGGUGCGUAACGCGUGGGAACCUGCCCUUAGGUUCGGAAUAACUCCCCGAAAGGGGUGCUAAUACCGGAUAAUGUCUUCGGACCAAAGAUUUAUCGCCUUUGGAUGGGCCCGCGUUGGAUUAGCUAGUUGGUAGGGUAAAAGCCUACCAAGGCGACGAUCCAUAGCUGGUCUGAGAGGAUGACCAGCCACACUGGGACUGAGACACGGCCCAGACUCCUACGGGAGGCAGCAGUGGGGAAUAUUGGACAAUGGGCGAAAGGCUGAUCCAGCAAUGCCGCGUGAGUGAUGAAGGCCUUAGGGUUGUAAAGCUCUUUUACCCGGGAUGAUAAUGACAGUACCGGGAGAAUAAGCUCCGGCUAACUCCGUG